GUGUGUGACAGAGAGCAGCAGUCACUGGGACUCAGUGUGUACUUUACCUCAGUGCUCCUCCCUCUGUCCUGCAGCCAUGAAGCUUCUACCAGCCCUGCUCACCCUCACAGCACUGACUCUCUCAGGUGUGGAGGCUCAGAUUGUACUGACUGAGUCUGAAGCAGUGGUGAAGAAACCAGGAGAAUCACACAAACUGACAUGUACAGUUUCUGGGCUCUCAGUCAGUAGCAAUGAUAUGAACUGGAUCAGACAGGCUCCUGGGAAGAGACUGGAGUGGAUCGCUGGCAUUGACCAUGAUGAUGACAGCACUUACUACUCCCAGUCUGUUCAGGGCAGAUUCACCAUCUCCAGAGACAACGGCAGGAACCAGCUGUAUUUACAGAUGAACAGCCUGAAAGCUGAAGACACGGCUGUGUACUACUGUGCCAGAGAGUCACAGUACCAACCCUUGUUCCUGAGUCUCCCGUCCUGCCCGCCCUGCCUGCCCCUGGGCGUUGAGUCUCCCCUUCCUCUUCUCUCGGUGUCCCGCGCCUGCGUGUAG
Non-coding RNA from Brienomyrus brachyistius, 541 nucleotides. NCBI's taxonomy places the organism in Eukaryota, Metazoa, Chordata, Actinopteri, Osteoglossiformes, Mormyridae. The record is from the annotation of a RefSeq genome assembly.